CAGUCGCCACGGUAAUACGAGGGGGGCUAGCGUUGUUCGGAUUUACUGGGCGUAAAGCGCACGUAGGCGGAUCGAUCAGUCAGGGGUGAAAUCCCAGAGCUCAACUCUGGAACUGCCUUUGAUACUGUCGAUCUGGAGUAUGGAAGAGGUGAGUGGAAUUCCGAGUGUAGAGGUGAAAUUCGUAGAUAUUCGGAGGAACACCAGUGGCGAAGGCGGCUCACUGGUCCAUUACUGACGCUGAGGUGCGAAAGCGUGGGGAGCAAACAGGAUUAGAUACCCCAGUAGUCCCUGUCUCUUAUAC
RNAcentral lists this ribosomal RNA (301 nucleotides) under uncultured bacterium. RNAcentral's name for it is "partial 16S ribosomal RNA". It matches the Rfam family "Bacterial small subunit ribosomal RNA", at positions 509 to 807 of the family's 1533-position model. The record is from RNAcentral.